Molecule: ribosomal RNA, 253 nt
Filed under: uncultured bacterium
Lineage: Bacteria
Description: partial 16S ribosomal RNA
Rfam family: Bacterial small subunit ribosomal RNA
Source: RNAcentral
UACAGAGGUCUCGAGCGUUAGGCGGAAUCACUGGGCUUAAAGCGUGUGUAGGCGGAUCGGUAAGUACCUUGUGAAAUCCCACAGCUUAACUGUGGAACUGCUUGGUAUACUGCCAGUCUUGAGCCAGCUAGGGGCUACCGGAACAAAUGGUGGAGCGGUGAAAUGCGUAGAUAUGACUCGGAAGGCCAAAGGCGAAGGCAGGUUACUGGUACGCAACUGACGCUGAGGCACGAAAGCGUGGGGAGCAAACAGG